RNAcentral lists this ribosomal RNA (183 nucleotides) under Triticum aestivum (bread wheat). Its description in RNAcentral is "partial small subunit ribosomal RNA". The record is from RNAcentral. Lineage: Eukaryota; Viridiplantae; Streptophyta; Magnoliopsida; Poales; Poaceae.
GGAGUGGGUGUUUGGAAUAUACAAAGAAUUUGGAGGAAAGCAAUGAAGAAAAUUAGCGAAGGUAAAGAGGUGGAUGUUUCUAAUCAAAAAGGAAAUUCUGGAAGAAAGCCUAAGGACAUUAACCUAGAAAAAAUCCUAACGAUCCCAUUAAACAAAAGGUCUACCAUUAGGUCACUUGCCUGG